ACGCACGCUGGCGGCAGGCCUAACCCCUGCACGUCGAGCGAGGACUUCGGUUCUAGCGGCGGACGGGUGAGUAACGCGUGGGAAUGUGCCCUUCUCUACGGAAUAGCCCUGGGAAACUGGGAGUAAUACCGUAUACGCCCUUUUGGGGAAAGAUUUAUCGGAGAAGGAUCAGCCCGCGUUGGAUUAGGUAGUUGGUGGGGUAAUGGCCUACCAAGCCGACGAUCCAUAGCUGGUUUGAGAGGAUGAUCAGCCACACUGGGACUGAGACACGGCCCAGACUCCUACGGGAGGCAGCAGUGGGGAAUCUUAGACAAUGGGGGCAACCCUGAUCUAGCCAUGCCGCGUGAGUGAUGAAGGCCUUAGGGUUGUAAAGCUCUUUCAGCUGGGAAGAUAAUGACGGUACCAGCAGAAGAAGCCCCGGCUAACUCCGUG
This 432-nucleotide ribosomal RNA is filed under the name uncultured bacterium. Its description in RNAcentral is "partial 16S ribosomal RNA". It matches the Rfam family "Bacterial small subunit ribosomal RNA", at positions 29 to 507 of the family's 1533-position model. The record is from RNAcentral.